Molecule: ribosomal RNA, 664 nt
Filed under: uncultured Front Range soil crenarchaeote FRC33A
Lineage: Archaea; Thermoproteati; Thermoproteota
Description: bacterial SSU rRNA
Rfam family: Archaeal small subunit ribosomal RNA
Source: RNAcentral
CCCGACUGCUAUCGGAUUGAGAUUUAGCCAUGCGAGUCGAACGUCCCUCUGUUGCGGGGGGCGUGGCGUACGGNUCAGUAACACGUAGUCAACCUGCCCUGGAGACGCGAACAACCCCGGGAAACUGGGAUUAAUUCGUGAUAGGUCACCUCAUCUGGAAGGAGAGAUGGCUCAAAGGGGUGCGCGGGCUUCUUCCGCGUAUUUGCUCCAGGAUGGGACUGCGUCCGAUCAGGCUGUUGGCGGGGUAAUGGCCCACCAAACCUGUAACCGGUACGGGCCUUGAGAGAGGUGGCCCGGAGAUGGACACUGAGAGAAGGGUCCAGGUCCUACGGGGCGCAGCAGGCGCGAAACCUUCGCAAUGCGCGAAAGCGUGACGAGGUUAAUCCGAGUGACCCCCGCUGAGGGGGUCUUUUGUCAGCUGUAAAUAGGCAGGCGAAUAAGGGGAGGGCAAGCCUGGUGUCAGCCGCCGCGGUAAUACCAGCUCCUCGAGUGGUCGGGGCGAUUAUUGGGCCUAAAGCAUCCGUAGCCGGUUCCGUAGGUCCUCUGUUAAAUCCAACCGCUUAACGGUUGACCUGCAGAGGAUACCGCGGGACUAGGAGGCGGGAGAGGCGGACGGUACUCCGCGUGUAGGGGUAAAAUCCUUUGAUCCGCGGAAGACCACCAG